CUACGGGCCGCUCCAGUGGGGAAUAUUGCACAAUGGAGGAAACUCUGAUGCAGCGACGCCGCGUGGAGGAUGACACAUUUCGGUGCGUAAACUCCUUUUAUAUAGGAAGAUAAUGACGGUACUAUAUGAAUAAGCGCCGGCUAACUCCGUGCCAGCAGCCGCGGUAAUACGGAGGGCGCAAGCGUUACUCGGAAUCACUGGGCGUAAAGAGCGUGUAGGCGGAUAGAUAAGUCAGGAGUGAAAUCCUAUGGCUCAACCAUAGAACUGCUCUUGAAACUGUCUAUCUAGAGUGUGGGAGAGGUAGAUGGAAUUUCUGGUGUAGGGGUAAAAUCCGUAGAGAUCAGAAGGAAUACCGAUUGCGAAGGCGAUCUACUGGAACAUAACUGACGCUGAGACGCGAAAGCGUGGGGAGCAAACAGGAUUAGAUACCCUAGUAGUC
RNAcentral lists this ribosomal RNA (439 nucleotides) under uncultured bacterium. Its description in RNAcentral is "partial 16S ribosomal RNA". It matches the Rfam family "Bacterial small subunit ribosomal RNA", at positions 339 to 795 of the family's 1533-position model. The record is from RNAcentral.